CUCCAACUUGUGCGCUGGAUAGCGAUUUUCGCUCCGUGACAGCCCUCUACUUGCAUAGCCUAUGACUCUAAGUUGUCCCUCUUGCUCCUGAUACAAUACAGCACCAAGCCCGGUGGUACUGGCGUCGGUGUGCAGUAUAUAGGGUUUCUGGGGGUCAGCGAAGGCAAGUACAGGGGCAGUGGUGAGACUUUGGAUGACUGACUCGAAGGCUUCCUGGCAAGCUGGCGUCCAGCGACCUCCGAAAGGGUCUUUUGGGUCAUGGUACUGAUGUGCACUUUGUCUUGCGUUUACUUUUGAUUUCUUGUGGCUAGGUGGGUACCCUGAAGUUAAGUUGUGGAGAGGUUUCACAAUGCUGGAAUACCCCUUAAAGUCCGUUUGGCUCGACACCACCGAACAGAGGCAGCAAUAUAACAUAGCUAACAUUAACAGUGCAGUGAAUCUUCCUUGUGCUGUGAUAUUCAGGACUGCAAACCGAGCAGCAUCACUGACUUUCAGCUUGUUGUGUUUGUGGAUAUAUGACUGACUUUAAUUAUCCACAAAAUCAUCACAAUCUCUGUAAGAUUAAGGUCGACUAUAUAUAUAUAUUUUAAAGUAAAGGCUUUAAAACCAAGUUAAUUCUGAAAGUACAGACAUGACUAAUGUCACAUAACUUUCCCGACAUGUGGCCAACAAUAAUGGUUUAAUGUUCUUCAUUAAAAAAAUAUUUGCGCAUAAAUAAGUGACAUAAUAUUCAGUACUUACUUCUGAAAGUUUACUCUUCCUCCGCUCCACUUCCACCGUUUUUUUUCGGCAAAAUUAUCCACACCACCACCGCACUAUGAAGUCUGGGAUAUGUUGGGCCAUGAAGGCUACACCGACCCAUCCUUAAAAUUCAGGGAAAUUAUGGACUCAUUUGAGGGCCGCAUUUCGAGCAGCCUUUGAAUUGGGAAAGCCUUCUCUUGUCGCUGUGACGUAAUCGGCCUUAAAAUGCGGCCUUUAAGGCUGCAAACCCCAAAUCCGGUCAUUGGUACUUCCUGGCUUGUGUAGUUACUAGGUAACAAAAGCUCAACACUGCCCCUAGCGUCCUGGAGCACUUCCGUUGUGUUUUGGAAUUUGCAUGUGUUUUUGAGUUUGCAAGUGUUUUGGAAUUUGUACGUGUUUUGGAAUUUGCACGUGUUUUGGAAUUUGCAUGUGUUUUUUAGUUUGCAAGUGUUUUGGAUUUUGCAUGUGUUUUGGAGUUUGUACGUGUUUUGGAGUUUGCAUGUGUUUUUUAGUUUGCAAGUGUUUUGGAAUUUGCAUGUGUUUUUGAGUUUGCAAGUGUUUUGGAAUUUGUACGUGUUUUGGAAUUUGCAUGUGUUUUUUAGUUUGCAAGUGUUUUGGAAUUUGCAUGUGUUUUUUAGUUUGCAAGUGUUUUGGAAUUUGCAUGUGUUUUUGAGUUUGCAAGUGUUUUGGAAUUUGUACGUGUUUUGGAAUUUGCACGUGUUUUGGAAUUUGCAUGUGUUUUUUAUUUGCAAGUGUUUUGGAUUUUGCAUGUGUUUUGGAGUUUGUACGUGUUUUGGAGUUUGCAUGUGUUUUUUAGUUUGCAAGUGUUUUGGAGUUUGCAUGUGUUUUGGAAUUUGCAUGUGUUUUGGAGUUUGCAAGUGUUUUGGAGUUUGUACGUGCUUUGUCUCUAGGGUCCACCGUAGGGUCCAUAGCUGUGACACUGGACACGAGUUCUUGAUUCUAUGGAGAUUAACAGUAAUCCAGAAAUUUACAAAUUUGUCCUGGUACAUUGCGUAAAUGUUGUCCCAGGGACAUCGCGUAAAUGUUGUCCCUGGGACAUCGUGUAAAUGUUGUCCCAGGGACAUCGUGUAAAUGUUGUCCCUGGGACAUCGUGUAAAUGUUGUCCCUGGGACAUCGCGUAGAUGUUGUCCCUGGGACAUUGUGUAAAUGUUGUCCCAGGGACAUCGUGUAAAUGUUGUCCCAGGGACAUCGCGUAGAUGUUGUCCCUGGGACAUCGUGUAAAUGUUGUCCCAGGGACAUCGUGUAAAUGUUGUCCCAGGGACAUCGUGUAAAUGUUGGCCCUGGGACAUCGUGUAGAAGUUGCCCUGGGACAUCAUGUUAAAGUUGCCAGAGACAUACCAUAUGAAAGUUUAGCUUCUUUUAGCCCCUGUUUGUUUUAUAUAUAUAUAUAUAUAUAUAUAUAUAUAUAUACAUAUAUAUAUAUAUAUAUAUAUUUUUUUUUUUUU
Molecule: long non-coding RNA, 2207 nt
Organism: Astatotilapia calliptera (eastern happy)
Lineage: Eukaryota; Metazoa; Chordata; Actinopteri; Cichliformes; Cichlidae
Source: Ensembl